GGACUACCCGGGUAUCUAAUCCGUUUUGCUCCCCACGCUUUCGUGCCUCAAUGUCAGGAACAGAAUAGUUAACUGCCUUCGCCGUUAUUGAUGUUCUAGUUCAUAUCUAUGGAUUUUACCCCUCCACGAACCAUUCCGUUAACCUCUCCUGCCCUCUAGUCGGACAGUAUUACCAGCUUCCACGAGGUUGGGCCUCGAUUUACCACCGUUAACUUAUCAAACCAUCUACGCACCCUUUACGCCCAAUAAUUCCGGAUAACGUUCGCCACCUACGUCUUACCGCGGCUGCUGGCAC
RNAcentral lists this ribosomal RNA (295 nucleotides) under uncultured bacterium. Its description in RNAcentral is "partial 16S ribosomal RNA". The record is from RNAcentral.